RNAcentral lists this ribosomal RNA (449 nucleotides) under uncultured bacterium. Its description in RNAcentral is "bacterial SSU rRNA". It matches the Rfam family "Bacterial small subunit ribosomal RNA", at positions 329 to 793 of the family's 1533-position model. The record is from RNAcentral.
GGCCAGACUCCUACGGGAGGCAGCAGUGGGGAAUAUUGGGCAAUGGGCGCAAGCCUGACCCAGCAACGCCGCGUGAAGGAAGAAGGCUUUCGGGUUGUAAACUUCUUUUAAGAGGGAAGAGAAGAAGACGGUACCUCUUGAAUAAGCCACGGCUAACUACGUGCCAGCAGCCGCGGUAAUACGUAGGGGGCAAGCGUUAUCCGGAUUCACUGGGUGUAAAGGGAGCGUAGACGGCGACGCAAGUCUGGAGUGAAAGCCCGGGGCCCAACCCCGGGACUGCUCUUGGAACUGCGCGGCUGGAGUGCAGGAGGGGCAGGCGGAAUUCCUGGUGUAGCGGUGAAAUGCGUAGAUAUUAGGAGGAACACCAGUGGCGAAGGCGGUCUGCUGGACAGCAACUGACGGUGAGGCGCGAAAGCGUGGGGAGCAAGCAGGAUUAGAUACCCGAGUAU